AACGAACGCUGGCGGCAUGCCUAACACAUGCAAGUCGAACGAGACCUUCGGGUCUAGUGGCGCACGGGUGCGUAACGCGUGGGAACCUGCCCUUAGGUUCGGAAUAACUCCCCGAAAGGGGUGCUAAUACCGGAUAUUGUCUCCGGCCCAAAGAUUUAUCGCCUUUGGAUGGGCCCGCGUUGGAUUAGCUAGUUGGUAGGGUAAAAGCCUACCAAGGCGACGAUCCAUAGCUGGUCUGAGAGGAUGAUCAGCCACACUGGGACUGAGACACGGCCCAGACUCCUACGGGAGGCAGCAGUGGGGAAUAUUGGACAAUGGGCGAAAGCCUGAUCCAGCAAUGCCGCGUGAGUGAUGAAGGCCUUAGGGUUGUAAAGCUCUUUUACCCGGGAUGAUAAUGACAGUACCGGGAGAAUAAGCUCCGGCUAACUCCGUG
RNAcentral lists this ribosomal RNA (433 nucleotides) under uncultured bacterium. RNAcentral's name for it is "partial 16S ribosomal RNA". It matches the Rfam family "Bacterial small subunit ribosomal RNA", at positions 29 to 507 of the family's 1533-position model. The record is from RNAcentral.